CAAACAGGAUUAGAUACCCUGGUAGUCCACGCUGUAAACGAUGUCGAUUUGGAGUUUGUUGCCUAGAGUGAUGGGCUCCGAAGCUAACGCGAUAAAUCGACCGCUGGGGAGUACGGCCGCAAGGUUAAAACUCAAAUGAAUUGACGGGGGCCCGCACAAGCGGUGGAGCAUGUGGUUUAAUUCGAUGCAACGCGAAGAACCUUACCUGGUCUUGACAUCCAUAGAAUUCUGCAGAGAUGUGGGAGUGCCUUCGGGAACUAUGAGACAGGUGCUGCAUGGCUGUCGUCAGCUCGUGUUGUGAAAUGUUGGGUUAAGUCCCGCAACGAGCGCAACCCUUAUUCUUUGUUGCCAGCGAUUUGGUCGGGAACUCAAAGGAGACUGCCGUUGAUAAAGCGGAGGAAGGUGGGGACGACGUCAAGUCAUCAUGGCCCUUACGACCAGGGCUACACACGUGCUACAAUGGCGUAUACAAAGGGAAGCGAAGGUGCGAGCUGGAGCGGAUCUCAUAAAGUACGUCUAAGUUCGGAUUGGAGUCUGCAACUCGACUCCAUGAAGUCGGAAUCGCUAGUAAUCGUAGAUCAGAAUGCUACGGUGAAUACGUUCCCGGGCCUUGUACACACCGCCCGUCACACCAUGGGAGUGGGUUGCACCAGAAGUAGAUAGCUUAACCGCGAGGGGGGCGUUUACCACGGUGUGAUUCAUGACUGGGGUGAAGUCGUAACAAGGUAACCA
This 732-nucleotide ribosomal RNA is filed under the name uncultured Enterobacteriaceae bacterium. Its description in RNAcentral is "bacterial SSU rRNA". It matches the Rfam family "Bacterial small subunit ribosomal RNA", at positions 769 to 1502 of the family's 1533-position model. Lineage: Bacteria; Pseudomonadati; Pseudomonadota; Gammaproteobacteria; Enterobacterales; Enterobacteriaceae. The record is from RNAcentral.